AUUGAACGCUGGCGGCAGGCUUAACACAUGCAAGUCGAACGGAACCUUCGGGUUUAGUGGCGAACGGGUGAGUAAUACCUAGGAAUCUGCCUAUUAGUGGGGGGAUAACGGCUCGAAAGGGUCGCUAAUACCGGCAUACGUCCUACGGGAGAAAGAGGGGGAUCUUCGGACCUCUUGCUAAUAGAUGAGCCUAGGCCGGAUUAGCUAGUUGGUAGGGUAAAGGCCUACCAAGGCGACGAUCCGUAGCUGGUCUGAGAGGAUGAUCAGCCACACUGGAACUGAGACACGGUCCAGACUCCUACGGGAGGCAGCAGUGGGGAAUAUUGGACAAUGGGGGCAACCCUGAUCCAGCCAUGCCGCGUGUGUGAAGAAGGCC
Molecule: ribosomal RNA, 376 nt
Filed under: uncultured bacterium
Lineage: Bacteria
Description: bacterial SSU rRNA
Rfam family: Bacterial small subunit ribosomal RNA
Source: RNAcentral